UACGGGGGGGGCAAGCGUUGUUCGGACUUACUGGGCGUAAAGGGCUUGUAGGUGGCCAACUAAGUCAGACGUGAAAUCCCCCGGCUUAACCGGGGAACUGCGUCUGAUACUGGAUGGCUAGAGAUUGGGAGAGGGACGCGGAAUUCCUGGUGUAGCGGUGAAAUGCGUAGAUAUCUGGAGGAACACCGGUGGCGAAGGCGGCAUCCUGGACCAACACUGACACUGAUGAGCGAAAGCCAGGGGAGCAAACGGG
RNAcentral lists this ribosomal RNA (253 nucleotides) under uncultured bacterium. RNAcentral describes it as "partial 16S ribosomal RNA". It matches the Rfam family "Bacterial small subunit ribosomal RNA", at positions 524 to 776 of the family's 1533-position model. The record is from RNAcentral.